AGAGUUUGAUCCUGGCUCAGAACGAACGCUGGCGGCAUGCCUAACACAUGCAAGUCGAACGAACCCUUCGGGGUUAGUGGCGCACGGGUGCGUAACGCGUGGGAAUCUGCCCUUUGCUUCGGAAUAACAGUUAGAAAUGACUGCUAAUACCGGAUGAUGUCUUCGGACCAAAGAUUUAUCGGCAAAGGAUGAGCCCGCGUAGGAUUAGGUAGUUGGUGGGGUAAAGGCCUACCAAGCCGACGAUCCUUAGCUGGUCUGAGAGGAUGAUCAGCCACACUGGGACUGAGACACGGCCCAGACUCCUACGGGAGGCAGCAGUGGGGAAUAUUGGACAAUGGACGCAAGUCUGAUCCAGCAAUGCCGCGUGAGUGAUGAAGGCCUUAGGGUUGUAAAGCUCUUUUACCAGGGAUGAUAAUGACAGUACCUGGAGAAUAAGCUCCGGCUAACUCCGUGCCAGCAGCCGCGGUAAUACGGAGGGAGCUAGCGUUGUUCGGAAUUACUGGGCGUAAAGCGCACGUAGGCGGUUACUCAAGUCAGAGGUGAAAGCCCGGGGCUCAACCCGGAACUGCCUUUGAAACUAGGUAACUAGAAUCCUGGAGAG
This 601-nucleotide ribosomal RNA is filed under the name Sphingomonas sp. Y49. RNAcentral's name for it is "bacterial SSU rRNA". It matches the Rfam family "Bacterial small subunit ribosomal RNA", at positions 8 to 656 of the family's 1533-position model. Lineage: Bacteria; Pseudomonadati; Pseudomonadota; Alphaproteobacteria; Sphingomonadales; Sphingomonadaceae. The record is from RNAcentral.